Misgurnus anguillicaudatus (oriental weatherfish) is the source of this 1975-nucleotide non-coding RNA. The record is from RefSeq and is a predicted model, not a curated record. NCBI's taxonomy places the organism in Eukaryota, Metazoa, Chordata, Actinopteri, Cypriniformes, Cobitidae.
AGAGUAGGUGUUGUGCUAAAUAAUGAUCCUAGAAGCUACAUUUAUAAUAUUUACCUCAGUUAAAAAAUACUGCUGGUAACGUUGAAGCACUGGCGGGCUUCGUCAACCGUCAGUUAUAAAAGCUCUGUUAAAUACAUUUUGUUCCGGGUUUUAAUGAAUUACGUUACAGUCCUGCUUUAUUUCUUUGUCAUUUUAAAUUAAAUUGCCAAUCACAAUAAGACAGCUGUGUUGUAAGGAGACGAAAUUCGAGACAGUAAUUUCAGUGAAGCGCGUGGUCAAAGGAACCGGGUGGAAGACGGUGGAAGGGAAAUUAUACAGGUUGGAGCUAAACUCGGAAGGAAAGUGGAAACUGCUGGCCACAGUUGAGAACAUUCCGCCGAUAACCAUGGUUAAUAAAUGGUCAGACACGUCACUGGCUUUAAAAUAUAAACCCCAUUGAUGCAAAAAGAUGCUGCAUGGAAUGACAAUGAGGUUUGGAACAGACUUGGUGAAGAACAUGGAAACAUCUCUAAAUAAAAUGGCCCCAAACAUCAUCAGGAGUGCAAAAGAAGGAAGUAAAAAACAUCUCUACGCCAAUCUCAUUGGAGAGGAAACCACAGAAGGUCUGGUGAGGAAUGCUGCACUUAUGUUAUUGCAAGCAUUAUUUCAAGAAAAUCCCAGCUUCCUUUACUGUGUAAAUAGUGAACCCAAAGGUCCCACACCAACCAUAGUGUUCAACGGCUCUCCUGAUCUUCUCAAAUCUGAAAGUAUCAACUGUAUAAUGGACAAUGUGAACUUAAUAUGUGGAAGACAUUGACAUCACAGGCUGUGGAAUGACUGUGUCACAGGUCGGAGAAGCGGACCGCCCCUGUCGCGGAUCACGCUCCUCCUAGUUCCACCUUGAGGAGGUCCCAAAGCACCCCAAUGACCAGACAAACCAGAGAUAAGUAAAAUAUAAAAAUAGAAACUUUAUUUAAAUUAUUUAAAACUAAAGUGGGGAAUGGGAAAGGGAAUCUAAAAAUCUCCCUUCUCGCCCUCAGGGGGAGUAUUACGGGGCCAGGGACGUUGGAGGGGUUUCCACGUGACUCCACCUCGAACACCGCUACAGAGCGUAUCUGGCUGGGUUGGGCACACACCGUCGCGGCGGCCCCUGAUGGCAUCCACAAAGGUCCAAGACCCUCCUAAGCUCCCAGCCGUAGCAGAACUACGUAUUUCAGCACCCGAACGACUAACAACCCAGCCGGCAUCUGCAGCGUAUAUCCAACGCAAUCAAACUUCACUCUGACAAGUAACUUCCUAUACACAACCACGCCGUCCUUUCGCCCGGACCAGCCCCGCACUCUUUCCGCCCGCUACCUAGCGGUCGCCGGAUCAGCAGAGCCUGCGGACUCUUCGGAGGCUGGUCUUCGUUGUGCUGCCCAAGGCGGAAGUUUACUUCCAGUAACUUCUACCUUCUCUCUUUAUAUCCUCCUCCAUGGCGUGGCUCGCCCAACCAUCGCUCGCCACGUCACUCACACAGCUGUGCCUUGUUUCAGCGAGUGCGGGGAUUCCCGGGGAACCCGGAAGUGCCGGUGUCUGUACAAACCGGUCCGGGCGGAACCUCUUCACUCUCCUUUUGGUUCCGCCCCGCAUAGUCACUUCGUGACAACUGUUUGCGUUUUUUUUUCUCCUCAAUGUUCAAUACCCUUUUGCCAUUAAGCACACAGUGACUUUAAUUUAUAAAAUAUAUGCUUAAGUUUUAAUACCUGUACAAAACAAAUGUACAAUCAACUUGUGUAAAUUGUCAUUCUAUUUAAUAGAUUGUUCAUGAAUUGUCUUUAAAUGCAUUGUGAUUUCGGUAACACUUUACAAUAAGGUUCAUUAGUUAACAUUAGUUAAUGUAUUAACUAACUUGAACAAACCAUGAGCAAUACAUUUGUUACAGUAUUUAUUCAUCUUUGUUAAUGUUAGUUAAUUCAAAUUUAAGCUUUAAUUGCUUGUUCAUGUUAGUUCAGAG